RNAcentral lists this ribosomal RNA (497 nucleotides) under uncultured bacterium. RNAcentral describes it as "partial 16S ribosomal RNA". It matches the Rfam family "Bacterial small subunit ribosomal RNA", at positions 28 to 507 of the family's 1533-position model. The record is from RNAcentral.
GAUGAACGCUGGCGGCGUGCCUAAUACAUGCAAGUCGAACGAAAGGACGAGAAGCUUGCGUCUCUGCUGUUAGCGGCGGACGGGUGAGUAACACGUGGAUAACCUACCUAUAAGACGGGGAUAACUACGGGAAACCGGAGCUAAUACCAGAUAAUAUUUUGAACCGCAUGGUUCAAAAGUAAAAGACGGUCUUGCUGUCACUUAUAGAUGGAUCCGCGCUGCAUUAGCUAGUUGGUAAGGUAACGGCUUACCAAGGCAACGAUGCAUAGCCGACCUGAGAGGGUGAUCGGCCACACUGGAACUGAGACACGGUCCAGGCUCCUACGGGAGGCAGCAGUAGGGAAUCUUCCGCAAUGGGCGAAAGCCUGACGGAGCAACGCCGCGUGAGUGAUGAAGGUCUUCGGAUCGUAAAACUCUGUUAUUAGGGAAGAACAUAUGUGUAAGUAACUGUGCACAUCUUGACGGUACCUAAUCAGAAAGCCCCGGCUAACUACGUG